Molecule: long non-coding RNA, 520 nt
Organism: Lagenorhynchus albirostris (white-beaked dolphin)
Lineage: Eukaryota; Metazoa; Chordata; Mammalia; Artiodactyla; Delphinidae
Exons: 3
Source: RefSeq, a predicted model, not a curated record
CCUAAAUAGCACUAAGUAAAUCGAGCUUUUGAUUACAAGUAGCUUGUUUUAUGAGUCUGGCCUUUCUUUUUGUGAUUGUUGCUAGGACUCUGACUGUUAAUCACCUGCGUUACUCAUAAUGGAGAUGGGUAGGACCAAGGCCUGUUUAUUUCCUGCAUCCAGUGCCAGGUCUAGUGGGUGAUUUCCAGUCCAUUCCUCCUCUGCUUCUACCAGAUGGAGGUGUGAUUAUAUUCCUUAUUUGGAUAUUGUCUGUAAAUCACCUCAAGGGAUGGAAGAAAAUUUGCAAGUAGCCCAAGAAAAUCUGCUGAGAUUAAGAAGGAAAUAUGUAACUAAUUGGAAGCCGCCAUAUGUUAUAAAACAGCAAACAAAAUUCCUCCACCUCACAAAAGAAAGAUCUGUUACCGAAAAGAACUGCAAAAAGAAAUUCCUUUGUAAGUAGCUGAAUGGUUAACAGUUGCUGUAUGAUUCCUCUCCAGUAUUUAUAUUUUUCAUCUUUGACUUGAAACCAAUAUUUAUUACA